GACGAACGCUGGCGGCGUGCUUAACACAUGCAAGUCGAGCGGAAAGGCCCUUCGGGGUACUCGAGCGGCGAACGGGUGAGUAACACGUGAGUAAUCUGCCCCGCACUCUGGGAUAGCCACCGGAAACGGUGAUUAAUACCGGAUAUGACGGCCCUGCGCAUGUGGGGUUGUGGAAAGUUUUUCGGUGCGGGAUGUGCUCGCGGCCUAUCAGCUUGUUGGUGGGGUAAUGGCCUACCAAGGCUUCGACGGGUAGCCGGCCUGAGAGGGUGACCGGCCACACUGGGACUGAGACACGGCCCAGACUCCUACGGGAGGCAGCAGUGGGGAAUAUUGGACAAUGGGCGGAAGCCUGAUCCAGCAACGCCGCGUGAGGGAUGACGGCCUUCGGGUUGUAAACCUCUUUCAGCACAGACGAAGCGCAAGUGACGGUAUGUGCAGAAGAAGGACCGGCCAACUACGUGCCAGCAGCCGCCGUAAAAC
This 480-nucleotide ribosomal RNA is filed under the name uncultured bacterium. RNAcentral describes it as "bacterial SSU rRNA". It matches the Rfam family "Bacterial small subunit ribosomal RNA", at positions 28 to 526 of the family's 1533-position model. The record is from RNAcentral.